This 200-nucleotide unclassified non-coding RNA is filed under the name soil metagenome. RNAcentral's name for it is "partial contains internal transcribed spacer 2 and large subunit ribosomal RNA". The record is from RNAcentral.
UGUUCGAGCGUCAUUUCAACCCUCAAGCCUAGCUUGGUCUUGGGCUAUGCCGGCAACGGCUGGCCUUAAAAUCGGUGGCGGUGCCAUUGAGCUCUACGCGUAGUAAUACACCUCGCGUUUGGGUCUCGGUGAGUGCUUGCCAGCAACCCCCAAUUUUUAUGGUUGACCUCGGAUCAGGUAGGGAUACCCGCUGAACUUAA